This 498-nucleotide ribosomal RNA is filed under the name uncultured bacterium. RNAcentral describes it as "partial 16S ribosomal RNA". It matches the Rfam family "Bacterial small subunit ribosomal RNA", at positions 29 to 523 of the family's 1533-position model. The record is from RNAcentral.
AUUGAACGCUGGCGGCAUGCCUUACACAUGCAAGUCGAACGGUAACGCGGGGCAACCUGGCGACGAGUGGCGAACGGGUGAGUAAUGCAUCGGAACGUGCCCAGUAGUGGGGGAUAGCCCGGCGAAAGCCGGAUUAAUACCGCAUACGACCUACGGGUGAAAGGGGGGGAUCGCAAGACCUCUCGCUAUUGGAGCGGCCGAUGUCAGAUUAGCUAGUUGGUGGGGUAAAGGCCUACCAAGGCGACGAUCUGUAGCUGGUCUGAGAGGACGACCAGCCACACUGGGACUGAGACACGGCCCAGACUCCUACGGGAGGCAGCAGUGGGGAAUUUUGGACAAUGGGCGAAAGCCUGAUCCAGCCAUGCCGCGUGCGGGAAGAAGGCCUUCGGGUUGUAAACCGCUUUUGUCAGGGAAGAAAUCUUCUGAGUUAAUACCUCGGGAGGAUGACGGUACCUGAAGAAUAAGCACCGGCUAACUACGUGCCAGCCGCCGCCGUAA